ACCUCAACCUAGCACUCUCAUAGCUAAAACAAAGCACUGGCCUUGUAAGACAGAGAUGGAGAACAAACACCCCCCCAAGAGUA
This 83-nucleotide transfer RNA is filed under the name Paleosuchus trigonatus (Schneider's dwarf caiman). RNAcentral's name for it is "tRNA-Thr". The record is from RNAcentral. Lineage: Eukaryota; Metazoa; Chordata; Crocodylia; Alligatoridae.